GAUAGCAUGAACAAACGUGACUCCAUUUGGGUUUAUGACUCCAUCCUGUAAAACAACCAUGCCAAGUAGAAGAGUCAUGACUGGAGCAAGAUGUUCUUUUCCUUUUGCUAAAGAAACCUUUAAGAACACGGAACUACCUAAUGGGGUAUUGUUUCAGUAACUAGGGUAAUGGGCUCUGUUUCUGUAACUGGGGUGACUGGGCUAACUGUGAUUGGUUAGGCUUCCCUCCGCUUGGCCGCACUGUCCUGCUUCUGUAACCUGGCUUGCUUGCGUUGGCUUGACCCCCCGAACAUCCCCUUUGCGGUUUUCAGGCUUAUAAGGAGUGCCCUUGCUAUUGUUCGGGGCUGAUCAGGGGAACAGCUUUAUGUUCUGGUCAGCCGCCACCGGUGUGCUUCAAUAAAGGCUUGAUUCGAUGAUACGUGAGUGGUC
RNAcentral lists this long non-coding RNA (429 nucleotides) under Marmota monax (woodchuck). The record is from RNAcentral. Lineage: Eukaryota; Metazoa; Chordata; Mammalia; Rodentia; Sciuridae.